Lolium rigidum is the source of this 1866-nucleotide RNA transcript. RefSeq lists it as uncharacterized. The record is from RefSeq and is a predicted model, not a curated record. The transcript has 2 exons. Lineage: Eukaryota; Viridiplantae; Streptophyta; Magnoliopsida; Poales; Poaceae.
CUACCGCUGUAAUUAAUUCUGUCCGUCCGAUUAGGCCAGUUAAUUAUGCAUUUCAAAAUUAACGUCCUAGGGGUAUUAUGGUAAGCUCGCAGGCAACAGUCCCACCUCGCACGACCGCAUCACGAGCUCCUCGAUCUCAAUCCCGGCGGUUCCCCAACCUCUGCCUCCCGCGUCACGACGGCGACAAAUCCUGGCCGCCGCCGAGCCCCUACGGCGACGCAGGAGCUUCCCAAUUCCGUCUUCAGUACCUUCCCUUCUGCAGCUAUUUUCUCACGGGCGCGCGACCCCGUGGACCGCGAUGGCAACAUCAAUGGGUUCGUCGGUGCUGGUGUAGGUGUAGAUGCUGUCUGGGCGGCUCUGCGGGGACAACGCCGACACCGUUGGAGGUGGAAGUUCGGAGAGCAGCCGCCGACGCUCGCCGGACGCACAUUUCUGCACCUCGCCUGACUCGGCCGCUCAACUUCUGGUAUGAUUAAUGCCAUUGAUUCUAUUUUUCGUGAAAAUUUGUUCGGCUGUAGUACCCGUGCUUGAACUGUUUAAGGCUCGUAUACACUAGUGUACCCGUGUUUGUCUGUAGUACCUGAGCCUCAAACAAAUUAUUUCUAAUAUCCUUAUGUUGAAUAGCUUCAGAAAGUUGGAGUAUCGCCUGCUUGAGUCUGUAUAUGAGUGUAAACUAGAUCAUAUAGACCACUGAAUCACACGGAUCUUCUAAGUAGUAUACUUAAAGCCCCAUUGCUAAAUCUGGCUAGUUACGCCUGAGAUAACUGAAUCCAAAAUUUUGGCCUGCGAUAUUGCUUCACUGUAUCUGGAAGCACUCUAGUUUUUCUUGCCACAUUGACAAACUUGCAAAGAGCGGUGUCAUCGGUCUUUUGAUGCAAUAUAGUUUUCAGGGGAUAUGCAAUUUAAUAUUACUAAGAAUGAAACUUAGAGUAUUCAGGAAUGUUUAUUCAUCUAUAUGAUUAAAGCAUAUAAGGAUCUUGAUCAUUCAACAAGCCUUUUUCCAAUACAUGAGCAGUGGAGUUAUAAUAAAAUCAUGAGAUAUAAAUGCAGAACCAUAGCAAUAACUCUUGGAUUAAGUCCUUCAUUUGUGGACACAGUUCUUCAUCCCUUACUAUGCCUAUCUUUUUGAAACCUUAGCAAUAACUCACAACUAUUCCUAUUUUUGUCGACAAACUUCGUGACCAAAUUUUAAGUCUCAUCGAUCUUGUGAGCUUCAACACCCUUUUGAUCCAAAAACUUCAGCUGCUUGGAGUUCUUGGCAAGCAGGAGGCGCAUUUUCUCUUCAGACUGGAAGGGAUAUUAUAGUAUAGAAGCUUCCACGGGUGUGCACAUUGCCCUGUUGGCUGUAUCCAUUUUCAGCUGAAGGAUAGGACUCAGGCAUAUGGCCGUGUGCUGCUACUGCAGCGGUCUACUCUGCUGCUAUCCCGGAGUACACUACUGCUGAGGUCCUGGAGCUGGCUAGGAACGCCAGUAAGGAUCUGAAGGUGGAGCGUAUCACCCCUCGCCAUCUUCAGCUGGCCAUCCGUGGAGAUGAAGAGCUGGAUACCCUCAUCAAGGGUACCAUUGCUGGUGGAGGUGUGAUCCCGCACAUCCACAGGUCCCUGAUCAAAGUAAUCCAUCCAGUUGUCUUGAAGUAACACAAUCUAGCAAAGGGAGUAUCUUUAGCUUAAACAGGACAUUUCACACUUGUAGUCUUGUGUGAGAUAAGCUACAUAUCUAUUAGCCUAUAGCUAUAUGCUUCCAGAUCGAAGUAAUCCGUCCUUGUAAUGCUUACCUGGCACUGCUUCAAUUAUUUGGAACAUUGUAUUCGUGUAUUCUUGUUCGUUUGUUCACUUCGUGAUAGACCCUGAAUGCAAAACCUUUUUA